GCAAGUCGUGCGAGAAAGUUUUUUCGGAAACGAGUAGAGCGGCGAACGGGUGAGUAACACGUAAAUAACAUGCCCUUAAGUUUGGGACAACCUUGCUAACGCGAGGCUAAUAAUGGCUGUGAACAUUAGAACUCAUGUUCUUUUGUUUAAAGGCCCUUCGGGGUUGCUUAAGGAUGGAUUUGCGGACCAUUAGUUAGUUGGUAAGGUAAUGGCUUACCAAGACGAUGAUGGGUAGCCGACCUGAGAGGGUGAUC
RNAcentral lists this ribosomal RNA (254 nucleotides) under uncultured bacterium. Its description in RNAcentral is "partial 16S ribosomal RNA". It matches the Rfam family "Bacterial small subunit ribosomal RNA", at positions 57 to 305 of the family's 1533-position model. The record is from RNAcentral.